Molecule: RNase P RNA, 365 nt
Filed under: Schaalia meyeri
Lineage: Bacteria; Bacillati; Actinomycetota; Actinomycetes; Actinomycetales; Actinomycetaceae
Also listed under: 1 other name
Description: Actinomyces meyeri Bacterial RNase P class A
Rfam family: Bacterial RNase P class A
About the family: Ribonuclease P (RNase P) is a ubiquitous endoribonuclease, found in archaea, bacteria and eukarya as well as chloroplasts and mitochondria. Its best characterised activity is the generation of mature 5'-ends of tRNAs by cleaving the 5'-leader elements of precursor-tRNAs.
Source: RNAcentral
UCGGUCGGCCGGGCGGCCGCGCGCGGAAACGCUCGAGGAACGUCCGGGCUCCGCAGGGCAGGGUGAUGGCUAACAGCCACCCGGGGUAACCCGCGGGACAGUGCCACAGAAAAGAAACCACCUCCACGGACAGUGGCGGUAAGGGUGAAAAGGUGAGGUAAGAGCUCACCAGCGGCGUGGGUGACCGCGUCGGCUAGGUAAACCCCACCCGGAGCAAGACCGAGCAGCAGGCAGGGCGGCCCGUCCGAUGCCUGCGGGUAGGUUGCUGGAGGCCGUCGGCAACGGCGGUCCUAGAUAGAUGGUCGCCACCCUAGUGCCGGUAACGGCCUGGGGGACAGAACCCGGCGUACAGGUCGACAGAUCCG